This is a transfer RNA of Wenxinia saemankumensis, 84 nucleotides long. It matches the Rfam family "tRNA". From Rfam's summary of the family: Transfer RNA (tRNA) molecules are approximately 80 nucleotides in length. NCBI's taxonomy places the organism in Bacteria, Pseudomonadati, Pseudomonadota, Alphaproteobacteria, Rhodobacterales, Roseobacteraceae. The record is from Rfam.
GCGGUUGUGGCGGAAUUGGUAGACGCGCAGCGUUGAGGUCGCUGUGGGGUAACUCCCGUGGAAGUUCGAGUCUUCUCAACCGCA